RNAcentral lists this long non-coding RNA (576 nucleotides) under Sus scrofa (pig). Its description in RNAcentral is "lncRNA (ENSSSCG00070013925.1)". The record is from RNAcentral. Lineage: Eukaryota; Metazoa; Chordata; Mammalia; Artiodactyla; Suidae.
GACCACGGCACAGACCUCACAUGUCGAGUGGCCUUCCCCGGAGCUGGAGCCGGCGUGAGCUUCCAGAGCACCAUCAGGCUGAACGUGUCAUAUGCUCCAGAGAAUCUGACCGUCCACGUCUUCCGGGGAAAGAGCACAGGCUGAGCUGGACCCGGGGGAACCUGACCCUGAGCCCCUCCCAGCCCCUGGAUCCCGGGGUCCUGGAGCUGCCCCGCAUGGUCUUGGGGGACGGAGGGGAGUUCACCUGCUGAGCUCAGCACCGGAGCGUCUCGUACCAUGUCUCCUUGAACCUAGUCAUGCAGGGUGAGCGGACCUGCGCCUCUCAUGGGAAGUCUGAUGACGGGCCCCCACGUUCCAAGCUGCAUCUGCAAACUACACCACAGCUCAUGGCAACACUGGAUCCCUAACCCACUGAGCAAGGCCAGGGAUAGAACCUGCGUCCUCAUGGUUCCUAGUCGGAUUCAUUUCUGCUGCACCACAACAGGAACUCCUGGGUUCCGAGACCAGCUCAGCAGGUUGGGGCUGAAGAACGGGUGCUGUGAAACAUAAGGAAUAAAGUUAACAUCAAACAAGACA